GUGGUAUCCUGUCUGAAUAUGGGGGGACCAUCCUCCAAGGCUAAAUACUCCUGACUGACCGAUAGUGAACCAGUACCGUGAGGGAAAGGCGAAAAGAACCCCGGCGAGGGGAGUGAAAAAGAACCUGAAACCGUGUACGUACAAGCAGUGGGAGCACGCUUAGGCGUGUGACUGCGUACCUUUUGUAUAAUGGGUCAGCGACUUAUAUUCUGUAGCAAGGUUAACCGAAUAGGGGAGCCGAAGGGAAACCGAGUCUUAACUGGGCGUUAAGUUGCAGGGUAUAGACCCGAAACCCGGUGAUCUAGCCAUGGGCAGGUUGAAGGUUGGGUAACACUAACUGGAGGACCGAACCGACUAAUGUUGAAAAAUUAGCGGAUGACUUGUGGCUGGGGGUGAAAGGCCAAUCAAACCGGGAGAUAGCUGGUUCUCCCCGAAAGCUAUUUAGGUAGCGCCUCGUGAAUUCAUCUCCGGGGGUAGAGCACUGUUUCGGCAAGGGGGUCAUCCCGACUUACCAACCCGAUGCAAACUGCGAAUACCGGAGAAUGUUAUCACGGGAGACACACGGCGGGUGCUAACGUCCGUCGUGAAGAGGGAAACAACCCAGACCGCCAGCUAAGGUCCCAAAGUCAUGGUUAAGUGGGAAACGAUGUGGGAAGGCCCAGACAGCCAGGAUGUUGGCUUAGAAGCAGCCAUCAUUUAAAGAAAGCGUAAUAGCUCACUGGUCGAGUCGGCCUGCGCGGAAGAUGUAACGGGGCUAAACCAUGCACCGAAGCUGCGGCAGCGACGCUUAUGCGUUGUUGGGUAGGGGAGCGUUCUGUAAGCCUGUGAAGGUGUGCUGUGAGGCAUGCUGGAGGUAUCAGAAGUGCGAAUGCUGACAUAAGUAACGAUAAAGCGGGUGAAAAGCCCGCUCGCCGGAAGACCAAGGGUUCCUGUCCAACGUUAAUCGGGGCAGGGUGAGUCGACCCCUAAGGCGAGGCCGAAAGGCGUAGUCGAUGGGAAACAGGUUAAUAUUCCUGUACUUGGUGUUACUGCGAAGGGGGGACGGAGAAGGCUAUGUUGGCCGGGCGACGGUUGUCCCGGUUUAAGCGUGUAGGCUGGUUUUCCAGGCAAAUCCGGAAAAUCAAGGCUGAGGCGUGAUGACGAGGCACUACGGUGCUGAAGCAACAAAUGCCCUGCUUCCAGGAAAAGCCUCUAAGCAUCAGGUAACAUCAAAUCGUACCCCAAACCGACACAGGUGGUCAGGUAGAGAAUACCAAGGCGCUUGAGAGAACUCGGGUGAAGGAACUAGGCAAAAUGGUGCCGUAACUUCGGGAGAAGGCACGCUGAUAUGUAGGUGAAGCGACUUGCUCGUGGAGCUGAAAUCAGUCGAAGAUACCAGCUGGCUGCAACUGUUUAUUAAAAACACAGCACUGUGCAAACACGAAAGUGGACGUAUACGGUGUGACGCCUGCCCGGUGCCGGAAGGUUAAUUGAUGGGGUCAGCGCAAGCGAAGCUCUUGAUCGAAGCCCCGGUAAACGGCGGCCGUAACUAUAACGGUCCUAAGGUAGCGAAAUUCCUUGUCGGGUAAGUUCCGACCUGCACGAAUGGCGUAAUGAUGGCCAGGCUGUCUCCACCCGAGACUCAGUGAAAUUGAACUCGCUGUGAAGAUGCAGUGUACCCGCGGCAAGACGGAAAGACCCCGUGAACCUUUACUAUAGCUUGACACUGAACAUUGAGCCUUGAUGUGUAGGAUAGGUGGGAGGCUUAGAAGUGUGGACGCCAGUCUGCAUGGAGCCGACCUUGAAAUACCACCCUUUAAUGUUUGAUGUUCUAACGUUGACCCGUAAUCCGGGUUGCGGACAGUGUCUGGUGGGUAGUUUGACUGGGGCGGUCUCCUCCUAAAGAGUAACGGAGGAGCACGAAGGUUGGCUAAUCCUGGUCGGACAUCAGGAGGUUAGUGCAAUGGCAUAAGCCAGCUUGACUGCGAGCGUGACGGCGCGAGCAGGUGCGAAAGCAGGUCAUAGUGAUCCGGUGGUUCUGAAUGGAAGGGCCAUCGCUCAACGGAUAAAAGGUACUCCGGGGAUAACAGGCUGAUACCGCCCAAGAGUUCAUAUCGACGGCGGUGUUUGGCACCUCGAUGUCGGCUCAUCACAUCCUGGGGCUGAAGUAGGUCCCAAGGGUAUGGCUGUUCGCCAUUUAAAGUGGUACGCGAGCUGGGUUUAGAACGUCGUGAGACAGUUCGGUCCCUAUCUGCCGUGGGCGCUGGAGAACUGAGGGGGGCUGCUCCUAGUACGAGAGGACCGGAGUGGACGCAUCACUGGUGUUCGGGUUGUCAUGCCAAUGGCACUGCCCGGUAGCUAAAUGCGGAAGAGAUAAGUGCUGAAAGCAUCUAAGCACGAAACUUGCCCCGAGAUGAGUUCUCCCUGACUCCUUGAGAGUCCUGAAGGAACGUUGAAGACGACGACGUUGAUAGGCCGGGUGUGUAAGCGCAGCGAUGCGUUGAGCUAACCGGUACUAAUGAACCGUGAGGCUUAACC
This 2517-nucleotide ribosomal RNA is filed under the name human gut metagenome. RNAcentral's name for it is "bacterial LSU rRNA". It matches the Rfam family "Bacterial large subunit ribosomal RNA", at positions 426 to 2925 of the family's 2925-position model. The record is from RNAcentral.